Molecule: ribosomal RNA, 459 nt
Filed under: uncultured bacterium
Lineage: Bacteria
Description: partial 16S ribosomal RNA
Rfam family: Bacterial small subunit ribosomal RNA
Source: RNAcentral
CCUACGGGUGGCAGCAGUGAGGAAUAGUGGUCAAUGGGCGCGAGCCUGAACCAGCCAAGUCGCGUGAGGGAAGACGGUCCUAUGGAGUGUAAACCGCUUUUGUAGGGGAGCAAAAGACGCCACGCGUGGCGUUCUGAGUGUACCCUACGAAUAAGCAUCGGCUAACUCCGUGCCAGCAGCCGCGGUAAUACGGAGGAUGCGAGCGUUAUCCGGAUUUAUUGGGUUUAAAGGGUGCGCGGGCGGGAGAUCAAGUCAGGGGUAAAAUUGAGAGGCUCAACCUCUUCGUGCCGUUGAAACUGGGAGUCUUGAGUGCGUUAGAAGUAUGCGGAAUGCGUGGUGUAGCGGUGAAAUGCUUAGAUAUCACUCAGAACUCCGAUUGCGAAGGCAGCAUGCCGGCGCUCAACUGACGCUGAUGCACGAAAGUGUGGGUAUCGAACAGGAUUAGAUACCCUAGUAGUC